This 177-nucleotide ribosomal RNA is filed under the name Thrips roepkei. RNAcentral's name for it is "5.8S ribosomal RNA". The stretch from base 3 to 151 matches the Rfam family "5.8S ribosomal RNA". From Rfam's summary of the family: 5.8S ribosomal RNA (5.8S rRNA) is a component of the large subunit of the eukaryotic ribosome. Lineage: Eukaryota; Metazoa; Arthropoda; Insecta; Thysanoptera; Thripidae. The record is from RNAcentral.
CUCAGUGGAUCCCUCGGCUCGUGGGUCGAUGAAGAACGCAGCAUAAUGCGCGUCGUUAUGUGAACUGCAGGACACAUGAACAUCGACAAUUCGAACGCAAAUGGCGGCCCUCGGUGUCUUUUCACCUUGGGCUACACCCGUCUGAGGGUCGGUCAAAAAUUAUAUAACCAGACUGCU